GCGCUGGUGAUGUAACGGUUAGCAUUCCUACCCCCUAAGUUGGCCGUCCGGGUUCGACUCCCGGCCAGUGCA
Non-coding RNA from Dimargaris cristalligena, 72 nucleotides. NCBI's taxonomy places the organism in Eukaryota, Fungi, Kickxellomycota, Dimargaritomycetes, Dimargaritales, Dimargaritaceae. The record is from the annotation of a GenBank genome assembly.